UCGUCCCCAGAAGUAUUUUAGGGAACAUUUAUGAGACCUUGGGAGAAUUGUACAGGCAACAAACAGAAAAUGUUGCCUGAUCUUUUUUUAGGCAUCAAUUUACACUUGUUGCAUAAAAAAGUGUUGCCAGAAGCAAUAAAUGUUGUAGUGAAUUCACCAUUCGAUUUUCUGUUGAUGCUGAUCAUCGAGAGAGCGGUGCAGACAUUACUCUUUCUUGUCUGCCAAUGGAUGACAGACAGACAAUAAAGGAAGGAUCCUUUCAUUCAGUGAAAAGCCUAAAGGAGCAGAUCUCAAAGCAAUGGUAAGACUCGUGUUUAUCAUUACUUCCAACUAAACAUACUACAAGUUUCGAAAACUAGAUUCACAGCUAAUACGACUUCAUAAUUUAGCAAGUGGAUACAAAUGUUCUUGGUCUUUCAAAGGACGAGGCUCUAG
Molecule: long non-coding RNA, 435 nt
Organism: Vicia villosa (hairy vetch)
Lineage: Eukaryota; Viridiplantae; Streptophyta; Magnoliopsida; Fabales; Fabaceae
Exons: 3
Source: RefSeq, a predicted model, not a curated record